This 426-nucleotide ribosomal RNA is filed under the name uncultured bacterium. RNAcentral describes it as "partial 16S ribosomal RNA". It matches the Rfam family "Bacterial small subunit ribosomal RNA", at positions 355 to 774 of the family's 1533-position model. The record is from RNAcentral.
UGGGGAAUAUUGCACAAUGGGCGCAAGCCUGAUGCAGCCAUGCCGCGUGUAUGAAGAAGGCCUUCGGGUUGUAAAGUACUUUCAGCGGGGAGGAAGGCGAUAAGGUUAAUAACCUUGUCGAUUGACGUUACCCGCAGAAGAAGCACCGGCUAACUCCGUGCCAGCAGCCGCGGUAAUACGGAGGGUGCAAGCGUUAAUCGGAAUUACUGGGCGUAAAGCGCACGCAGGCGGUCUGUCAAGUCGGAUGUGAAAUCCCCGGGCUCAACCUGGGAACUGCAUUCGAAACUGGCAGGCUAGAGUCUUGUAGAGGGGGGUAGAAUUCCAGGUGUAGCGGUGAAAUGCGUAGAGAUCUGGGGAAUACCGGUGGCGAAGGCGGCCCCCUGGACAAAGACUGACGCUCAGGUGCGAAAGCGUGGGGAGCAAACA